ACGAACGCUGGCGGCGUGCUUAACACAUGCAAGUCGAACGGAAAGGCCCUGCUUUUGUGGGGUGCUCGAGUGGCGAACGGGUGAGUAACACGUGAGUAACCUGCCCUUGACUUUGGGAUAACUUCAGGAAACUGGGGCUAAUACCGGAUAGGAGCUCCUGCUGCAUGGUGGGGUUGGAAAGUUUCGGCGGUUGGGGAUGGACUCGCGGCUUAUCAGCUUGUUGGUGGGGUAGUGGCUUACCAAGGCUUUGACGGGUAGCCGGCCUGAGAGGGUGACCGGCCACAUUGGGACUGAGAUACGGCCCAGACUCCUACGGGAGGCAGCAGUGGGGAAUAUUGCACAAUGGGCGGAAGCCUGAUGCAGCAACGCCGCGUGCGGGAUGACGGCCUUCGGGUUGUAAACCGCUUUCGCCUGUGACGAAGCGUGAGUGACGGUAAUGGGUAAAGAAGCACCGGCUAACUACGCG
Molecule: ribosomal RNA, 466 nt
Filed under: uncultured bacterium
Lineage: Bacteria
Description: partial 16S ribosomal RNA
Rfam family: Bacterial small subunit ribosomal RNA
Source: RNAcentral